UAAUACGGAGGGUGCGAGCGUUAAUCGGAAUUACUGGGCGUAAAGGGUGCGUAGGUUGUUUGAUAAGUUAUCUGUAAAAUCCCCGGGCUUAACCUGGGCAGGUCAGAUAAGACUGUUGGACUUGAGUACAGGAGAGGGCAGUGGAAUUUCCGGUGUAGCGGUGAAAUGCGUAGAGAUCGGAAGGAACACCAGUGGCGAAGGCGGCUGCCUGGCCUGAUACUGACACUGAGGCACGAAAGCGUGGGGAGCAAACAGGAUCAGAUACCCUGGUAGUCCACGCUGUAAACGAUGUCAACUGGCUGUUGGCCAUAUGAAUGUGGUCAGUGGCGUAGCUAACGCGCUAAGUUGACCGCCUGGGGAGUACGAUCGCAAGAUUAAAACUCAAAGGAAUUGACGGGGGCCCGCACAAGCGGUGGAGCAUGUGGUUUAAUUCGAUGCAACGCGAAGAACCUUACCUGCCCUUGACAUACAGUGUAGGCUGCAGAGAUGUGGCUUUGCCUUCGGGAACACUGAUACAGGUGCUGCAUGGCUGUCGUCAGCUCGUGUCGUGAGAUGUUGGGUUAAGUCCCGUAACGAGCGCAACCCUUAUUCUUAGUUGCCAUCAGGUAAAGCUGGGAACUCUAAGGAGACUGCCGGUGACAAACCGGAGGAAGGCGGGGACGACGUCAAGUCAUCAUGGCCCUUACGGGCAGGGCUACACACGUGCUAUAAUGGCCGGUACAGAGGGAGGCGAAGCGGUGACGCGGAGCAAAUCCUUAAAAGCCGGUCGUAGUCCGGAUUGGAGUCUGCAACUCGACUCCAUGAAGCCGGAAUCGCUAGUAAUCGCGAAUCAGCAUGUCGCGG
This 843-nucleotide ribosomal RNA is filed under the name uncultured bacterium. Its description in RNAcentral is "bacterial SSU rRNA". It matches the Rfam family "Bacterial small subunit ribosomal RNA", at positions 521 to 1362 of the family's 1533-position model. The record is from RNAcentral.